GACGAACGCUGGCGGCGUGCUUAACACAUGCAAGUCGAACGGAAAGGCCCUGCUUUUGUGGGGUGCUCGAGUGGCGAACGGGUGAGUAACACGUGAGUAACCUGCCCUUGACUUUGGGAUAACUUCAGGAAACUGGGGCUAAUACCGGAUAGGAGCUCCUGCUGCAUGGUGGGGGUUGGAAAGUUUCGGCGGUUGGGGAUGGACUCGCGGCUUAUCAGCUUGUUGGUGGGGUAGUGGCUUACCAAGGCUUUGACGGGUAGCCGGCCUGAGAGGGUGACCGGCCACAUGGGGACUGAGAUACGGCCCAGACUCCUACGGGAGGCAGCAGUGGGGAGUAUUGCACAAUGGGCGGAAGCCUGAUGCAGCAACGCCGCGUGCGGGAUGACGGCCUUCGGGUUGUAAACCGCUUUCGCCUGUGACGAAGCGUGAGUGACGGUAAUGGGUAAAGAAGCACCGGCUAACUACGUG
RNAcentral lists this ribosomal RNA (468 nucleotides) under uncultured bacterium. RNAcentral describes it as "partial 16S ribosomal RNA". It matches the Rfam family "Bacterial small subunit ribosomal RNA", at positions 28 to 507 of the family's 1533-position model. The record is from RNAcentral.